This 628-nucleotide long non-coding RNA is filed under the name Chinchilla lanigera (long-tailed chinchilla). Its description in RNAcentral is "lncRNA (ENSCLAG00000022470.1)". Lineage: Eukaryota; Metazoa; Chordata; Mammalia; Rodentia; Chinchillidae. The record is from RNAcentral.
UGUCCUCAAAUUAAAGUGCAUUACAUGCCCCUUUUUCCUCCAGCCUGACAAUAAAAAUCAUUUAUAAACCAGUAGGGCUGGAAAAACCGUCCUAACCUUGAGUUGAAGUGCAGAUUUGACUCCAUCACUCUUACCCCUGAAUGAGAGGGUAGUUAGUUAUUCAUACUAACUUUUAUUGUGAUUCCUUUCUACUUUAAUCAAAUUAUGUCGGUGUGAUUUGGAUGAAAAAGAGAAACCUAUAACUUUGCAAUAGUUUUAUAAAUCAAUCCAACUCAAUUUCUUUUGGAUUUGUUCCUAGGUAGCAAAAAUAUGAAACUGUGUUAUAACUGGAUUAACAGAGAACAGAGAAAUUUUCAGAGGUCACAACUGUUUUCACUCUGCAAGGAGACAUUUUUAUAUUUGUUGCUGUUAGCAACCUUAACUUUAUAUUCAAUGGCCAACUACUGUGAUCACCAACUAGUAAGUAAACAUCUACUACCAAUUUGUUUUAGAGAUUACUUAACGAUACACAUAUGUCAUGUCACUAUUCUUCCUCAUUUAUGCUUUUGAAAGGAAGCUAGUGCUGAGCUGGGGCAUGAAUCCUUCUCUCCAGAUCACUUCCACAUCUGGUUAUCUACCUGGUCCUCCA